GCUGCUCUAGUGCACUGGGCCUGGGACUUCAAGAGGAGGCUGUUUGCUCUGGACAGGCUCCUGCCUGCAGCUAAAAGAAGUGGUGGGAGAAGCAGUCUGGAGAGGACAGUGUUCAGUUGGGCACUACCCCCAGGUCAGGCUGCACAGCUGAAACCUUGGAGUGAAAACUCCCCAAGAAACCAGACAGCCCCAGGCCUGAGGCUUGGGAUUUGCUCUGAAAGUCCCUGUCUGGGCUUCCUGGGGUUUGUUCUCCUGACUGCGCUUGGAGGAUGCCUUGAUGUGUCUGGGCUGCUGACGGGGUCUGUGGCCAUCAGUGCAGUGCCCAUGGGGUGUGUGUGCAGAGGAAUUGGACCCAUUCCAGAGUACCCCUAAAGGUGAAUCCAGAAGAGGUGCAGGGAGUAUCCAGGCUUUCUCACAUUCACUCCAGACUUCACCAGCUGCACCUGGGACCAAACACCUGAAAACCAAGAUUCCCUUAUGAAAUCGAGAUGCUUCCAAGUGGUGCAGGCUGUCUUGGACAGAGAAGAUCUGCCGUGCUUGCUGAAUGUGCUGAGCCCUGCUGGGAGGCAUCCAGCAGCUCUCCUGUGGCCUGAGUUCUCCUGGGAGGGUUUCCAGCAGCACUGAGGUCUCCUUAACCACUGCUGCAAAGUGCCAGGAAAUAAGCUCUGACUGGCAGGAGAUAGCUGGGGAUGUCUACCAUACAAGCUGUAUAUUCUCAAGUUACGGGGAGUUCCUCUACCCUGGCAAGAGAUCUGACUUGCGUGGAGCCCAGCACAAGCUAUCGCAUCCCCGAGAUUGGGACACUCCGGGGCCAGGAGAACUGGUGAGGGCUUCAGGCUAGAGCCACUGUGAAGUGAUCAUCCUCUCUGCUCUGUCCUGUUGCCUGCCUGUGUGUGCGUCCUUAAAUAAAGCUUUGCAAAGGUGAGA
This is a long non-coding RNA of Alligator mississippiensis (American alligator), 927 nucleotides long. RefSeq lists it as uncharacterized. The transcript is spliced from 5 exons. Lineage: Eukaryota; Metazoa; Chordata; Crocodylia; Alligatoridae. The record is from RefSeq and is a predicted model, not a curated record.